GUUACCGCGUCAACGAGAGUGAACUCGCAAUACAAGAUAAACGAGAAAUAAAACCGUCGUCGAAAGGUUCGAUCCACAAACGAGGAACCUGCAACGAUCGAGGACAGUACCUACUUACGAGACACGACAUUCUACGAGCACCUCUUAGAAAUUGGACAUGGAAAGACUUUCAGAAAGUUCUGCUAAAUAGUUAAUCGAUUCGACGAGUGGGCAGCUCGUAUAUCAAACGACAAAGAGCGAUCGAGUGUCUCGGUAGAGCGAUUCGACAGAGGCGAUCGAUCGCGCACGAGUGAACAGAAAUUCUGAAAACAAGAGUUGGAAAAAAGAACCGUGAGCAGACGCCGUAUAAUGAACAGAAUUCACUCUAGCCCGGUCAUUUUCACUUCCGUGGAAAAGAAAAGGGAAAGUGCGCGUCGUUUCAGACCAAGAAGCCGUGCUUUACCGUACGUGUUUAUAACGCUCAGACAUCGCAGACCUACGUGAUCGUCUAUUUAACCAUGCUCUUGACGAAAUAAUGCUUUUUCAACGACAACCGUUUGUUGCAAAAUGAGUUCGAUUCCUGGAUCGGUUGGAGAUUUCGGGGCAUCGUUGAUCGUAUUCGUUGCUUUUUCACACGACCAAGUGCGUCGAGGUCCAGGUAACACUGUUUACGGAGCGUACCAUAAAGACGCUCGAAAUUUGUCCAAGUCCAGCAACGUCACGCCAAUAUCACUCGAUUUCUCACAUCUUUCACAAAAUUUUAACAUGUAAGAAAUAAACUCCACAAAGUUGCUUUCAUAAAUAGUCUAUUGCGCGAAUCUCGCGGUUCGCAACUUUCGCGACUCUGAAUUCUCUAAUUUUGAGCGGGAAUUUCCAGUUGAUUCGCGUAAGAGGGGAAAAAGUACGAGGAAACGUCAAAUUGGAGCGCACCUUUGACGCACGUGCACUUGGCCAUACAGUUGAUCAGAAAUCACGUGGUGGAAACUGUAAACUGGUUCGCGGAGGAACGACCUCCGAUUCCUGGAUGACGGAUGAGCUGACCUUCGAAAAUAUGGCGGCACUCGUGGACGGUCCGUGGCCACGAGUGUCGACUACACACUACACAGUACACUGGGAGUUGGGACCGGACUACGGUGCUAAGAUGAACCGAGUAAACGGUCCCGAGAGCUUAGCUCUAGGUAGGAGGAGCGCACUUAUACUUGGUUUCGAUCUUCCUCGAUCCAUUCUCUCCUCAACCUCGGAAAGAAAGAAAGAGAGAGUCGUAUGAUGUGCGCGCGUGUGCGUGCUCGUCUUGAUACAACUUCUCAUUCUGGAAUGCGUUGUCCUUCUUUUACUCGAGGUUAAGACGAAGAAGAAGGGAUUCACUGCGCAAGAGAGAAAGUUAGAGAAAUGAUUAACACUGUGGCUUUGCUUGCGUCUUUUCUUUCGAUCCUAUUAUCUCCGAAAACAUUCUUGCUAUAUAAAUUACAAGUAUUAUAUUUUUGAAAACGGCACACUCAAUUUUAUAAAAUUUAUCAUUUUAUUGACAAGUUACACGAUAUUAUUUAAAUAAUAUUUGUUACGUUGCUGGUCCAGAAAAACGGUAAAUAUAUUUUAUAAAGCUUAAUUUAUGUAUUGCUGUAAAUCUAAGGUCUAAUAACGGUAAAUGUAAUUCGUAAGGCCAAAUCUAUGUUACGAUAUUUGCUUCUAUCAAUUAAUGUUUAUUUACUAAAUUAGCAUACUUUCAUUAUGUUUAACGACUUAAUUGCUGUUCGAUAUUUCGAGCGGAGAUAAAUAUCUAUACACUUACAACAUUGAUUAUACAAGAAAUGUAUAAAUUAAAUUGUUACGCGCGUGUGAAAACUUAAUUAUUGAUAUCAAAG
Molecule: long non-coding RNA, 1841 nt
Organism: Hylaeus anthracinus
Lineage: Eukaryota; Metazoa; Arthropoda; Insecta; Hymenoptera; Colletidae
Exons: 4
Source: RefSeq, a predicted model, not a curated record